CCUAUCAUUGAAUAGUUGGACUCUGUUCUGAAUGUAAAGGGUGGAACUUUUUUCACUUCAUCUUUGUCUUGACUGAGGUCAGUCCCCAACACCAAUGCUUUCUAAGGUCCAAAUUCCUUUUCCUUUUCCUCAAGUCCCUCUCCCUCUGUCUAACAUCUUUGUCUUGUUUAAAAGGUGCUAUCUCUUCCGCCCAAUAGACGCCAGGACAGGUUGGUUUCUGUUCAAGAUGAGUGAUAUCAACAUGCAAUAUGUCACAUCUACCUCCUUUCUACUCUUAAGCUAUGCUAAGUACUUAACAACAGCCCAUAUGGUUGUGAACUGUGGUUGAACCACUCUUACUCCAAAGAGGCUCAGGGCUAUAGCACAAAAAAGGUGGAUUACUUGCUAGGAGACAACCCCUUGAAGAUGUCCUACAUGAAGGAUACAUCACAAGGGCUCAUAGCUGCUGUCCAUUGUUGUUCACCCUGGCAAGAUCGAAUGCUCAGUAGGAUUCAAUGUGAUGAACUCACAAUCCCCAAAUCCAUGACAGAACUUGGUUGAGGCAGACUAGUCAUUUGUCUGAGUUACACAUGGCUGCUGUAUCUAGAAUGGGUGACAUAGCUGAAGGUUAAAACUUAAAAUCGCACUAUGGAAGAGAAGGACAUAAAUGUUUACGGAAAUAAAUCGAUUUUAUUUAUGUUUAUUUGUAAACGAUAUAUUUACUUAUAUAUUUGGGGCUUUUAAUUUUUUUUGUUUUUUUGUAUAAACGGGCUUUUAAUUUUUAAUGCAAGAUAUUUUGAAUUUUAUUUCUA
Molecule: long non-coding RNA, 791 nt
Organism: Gastrolobium bilobum
Lineage: Eukaryota; Viridiplantae; Streptophyta; Magnoliopsida; Fabales; Fabaceae
Exons: 3
Source: RefSeq, a predicted model, not a curated record